RNAcentral lists this long non-coding RNA (640 nucleotides) under Capsicum annuum. RNAcentral's name for it is "long non-coding RNA (CANN_LNC016900)". Lineage: Eukaryota; Viridiplantae; Streptophyta; Magnoliopsida; Solanales; Solanaceae. The record is from RNAcentral.
CCUAAGAGAAGAAGAAUUAUGCCUUAUGACUCAUUUGUGACCAAAAUUGAUGAAUCUAUGUUUUACCCUUUUGUUCAAAUAACUCCCAUGCUAUUGAUGUAUAAUGUAGAUAUUGUUGUAAUGCUCAUUAUAUUAGAGUAUGAAAUUAUGACAUUGAUUAUAUGUAUUCCUACUAUGUACAAGAUUAUGAUAACCAUGUACUUCAUGAAAUCUCCAACUUAUUGUAUUAUGGAUUGUUGAUGUUAGUCAUGUAUUCAAGAAUGUUAUGCCUUGUCAGUUUCCUUCUAUCGAGUCCUGGGAGUACUUGUACCCAAAAAUUUAACUGUGUGCCUAGAAUUAGUGUUAUAUUUUCAAGAUACUCUUAGUCAAGCCAUGAUCCAUAGAACUCAGUCAGUCAUGUGACUCAGGAAAAACUCAGUAAACUCAAUAAUUCAGUAAUAUCAGUAGUAUUUUAUCAGUCAACGAAACUCAAUGAACUCAGUCCAGAUCAGUUCAGUUAAUCAUGUUCAGUGUCUAUUCAGAUGGGAGUAGGAUUUAGCACCGAGUAAACCCAAGAAGGAGGACACACACUGACAGAUGAGGGUGUGAUCUUUAGAAGUAAUCCUUUCAUUCUAGAACUAUAUAGCCAGCAUAGGUUGAG